UACAGAGGGUGCGAGCGUUAAUCGGAAUUACUGGGCGUAAAGCGUGCGUAGACGGUAGCGUAAGUCAGAUGUGAAAGCCCCGGGCUCAACCUGGGAACUGCAUUUGUGACUGCAUUGCUGGAGUGCGGCAGAGGGGGAUGGAAUUCCGCGUGUAGCAGUGAAAUGCGUAGAUAUGCGGAGGAACACCGAUGGCGAAGGCAAUCCCCUGGGCCUGCACUGACGCUCAUGCACGAAAGCGUGGGGAGCAAACAGG
This 253-nucleotide ribosomal RNA is filed under the name uncultured bacterium. RNAcentral's name for it is "partial 16S ribosomal RNA". It matches the Rfam family "Bacterial small subunit ribosomal RNA", at positions 524 to 776 of the family's 1533-position model. The record is from RNAcentral.